GUGGUGAAUGAAAGGAGAGAAGGUCAGUACUCCCGUUGACAAGGAUGGAAGAGGCCCUUGGGCCUCACAACAUGCAUAUGGUUAAGGCAAUGCCACCUACUUCGUGGCAUUUAACCAUCGUUUUUC
Molecule: non-coding RNA, 126 nt
Filed under: Dipodomys ordii (Ord's kangaroo rat)
Lineage: Eukaryota; Metazoa; Chordata; Mammalia; Rodentia; Heteromyidae
Source: RNAcentral